GCUCUCUAACCUAAAAUCAAUUCAUCGUACUCGAAAGCUUGAAACCCAGAUUCAAUUGUUGAAAACCCCUCUCCUUUAUAUUAGUUCAUUCAUCACAUAUAGCCAUCUCCCUCUCGCGCUCGAAAGCAUUCAAAUAGCUACCUCUUGAACCCAGAAUCAAUUCAUCACAUUCAAAAGCUUGAAACCCAAAUUCCUAGAUCAGCUUCGAACCUAGAAACUUGUGCUCAUGUGAUUCUUACUUCUCAUCACGUUCGCAUGCUUCGUGCUUCAAUCUGUGUUCCGCAUUCAUAGAGCUUCGUUCUUUGUUUCUCUAGCUUCAAUCUUUCACCUUAGGUCGUGCUUCAAUCUCCAAGCUUCAACCCAAGUUUUUGCAUCAGUUGUUGAUUUCCUCGGGCAAAGACAAGCCAUGAUUCACUAAUGAUAAGGAGAUUGCCAAAUAUGCAAAGGAGCAAUACAUGAAUCAAAGGCUCAGUGAAAGUGGCAAGUAGUGUUAUCAGUUAUUUUUUCAUAUUUCUUAAUCUGUAAGAAAACGUGUAUGAAUUUGUUCGUAAUGGUAUUGGAUAUUUACUUAAGUCAUUUUAAUUUUUUACAAUAAAUGCCAGCAAUGGAUAGUCUUUUUGAUGAAGAGCAAUUAUAUUCUCUUAUGCUCUCUACAUCACAAACUCAAUUUGGCAAUGAAGAAGUUUUGUGAGCAGUGUGUUUCCAUAAUACAUUAUUUUUGUGAUUAAGUUACUAACUAUGUAAUGAUGAUAGGGGUAUGAGAAUUGGCAAGCAAGUUUGGUUGUACAAGGCCUCACAUGAUGUCAAGGAUCCCAUAUGGACGUGAUGUCAAGGAUCCUAUAUGGAUGACACUAAAACUAAGCCAUUCAUGGAGCAUGGUUUGCUUCAUAGCAGAGUGCAAAAGAAAGAAAAACGUGAAGAGCUUUGGGAGUGAUGAUUGAAUUAGUGGAAGAAUGCAAAUCCUUAGGCAUAUUCUUUCAUCAAUACUCCUUUCCUUUCAUCUCUCCUAAACUUUUUCAUCUGUAACAGCAAACUUCUCUUUAUAAGGAUUCAUAGAUAAUGGCUUGAGUAGUUUAUUUAUUAAGAGUGUUUUAGGAAA
Prosopis cineraria is the source of this 1099-nucleotide long non-coding RNA. RefSeq lists it as uncharacterized. The transcript has 3 exons. The record is from RefSeq and is a predicted model, not a curated record. NCBI's taxonomy places the organism in Eukaryota, Viridiplantae, Streptophyta, Magnoliopsida, Fabales, Fabaceae.